RNAcentral lists this long non-coding RNA (3408 nucleotides) under Homo sapiens (human). RNAcentral describes it as "HSALNT0388792". Lineage: Eukaryota; Metazoa; Chordata; Mammalia; Primates; Hominidae. The record is from RNAcentral.
UGACCCGAGAUUGCGCUACUGCACUCCAGCCUGGGCGACAGAGCGAGGUUCCGUCUCGAAAAAAAAAACAACGAAAAGGGGACUCACUUCGGAGAAGCUGCCCUCUCUGCAAACUUAUUUGAGUAAGGGACUGAAGACUGAAGUUAGGGAGAGGAAAGGGAUACACGUCUGUUAGUGCGAGUUGCGUGUCUUGUUAGUGCGAACUGGAACCCAAGUUUCCUUUGGGAAGACUUUGGCGAAAGAGUACAGGAACACCAGCCACUCCAGAAAGAGACCGCUCCUCUUGAACCCGCCCACUUAACUCCUCCCGCAGGCUCUACGUUCGAAUGCCUCCACCCUGAUUUUAGAAGGUUAUAGGCGCACAAUCAAGGAAAUGUCGACAGAGGGCGUCCUUGCUCUAAGCAGCAUUGUCCACCUGCUUCCUGAGCGGGGUUCAGUGAUUAUUCUCUGAACCUGGACUUCUGGCGUUGUGCCUCUAUACUCCAUUUCCCUGCUUCAAAGCUCUCCUAAUUGACUUUAUUUUCUGACACUCCCCCACUUUACCCCCCAGGAGUGUUGCUUCUUUUAUUUCUUUGCCUGGAUGGUCGUUUGGCUUAGUAAAUAGACCUAGACCCCACCCCAUGGUGUAGAAGCAGUUGGUGAACUUCUAUAAAGGGCCAGACAGUACACAUUUUAGGCUCUGCGAUCUCCUUAUGGUUGAAAGUUCUACUGUUGUAGCACAAAAUCAGCCUUGGACAGUAAGCAAAUAGAGAUGUGGUCUUGCUAUGUUGCCCGGGCUGAGUGCAGUGACUAUUCACAGGCCGGAUCUAGUGCACUGCAGUCUUGAACUCCUGGCUUACAGUCCUGCUGGUUCUGAGAGGCAGGGGAAGAAACGGCCACCAUGCUCUGCAGCUAGGUCUCAGCAUGAGGACCAAGAACCCUGGUGUUCCUCCACUCAUCGGAGCCGUAUCAUUUUGGUGCAUUGGCCAGGAAAGGAAAUUCAAUCAUGAGACUGGUGAGUAUGGAGCGGAUUUCAACUUUAUAUCUGUUCUUUAGUCUCAAGGCUCUCUUCCAGCUACCCUGUCGCCAAAACUUUCUUUCUAUCUGUGGUCUCUCUGUGUGUCUAAUGUGCAGGAUUCUGUCUGUUAGAAAAGAUCGUGAAUCACGGCAUGCAGUAACUCAAUAAGUGUCUCUCUCUCUCUCUACGUUUUCUCUGGCAAGCACAUGGUAUUUCUAAGCCACCUAGUAGAAAUCAGGCUGUAGGCCUCUUCUAAGAAUGGGAAGUUUCUGCUUUUAACAGUUAGGAGUAGGAUGUCUUCCAUGGCCAAAUUUUAGUCUCAAUAUUGUCCCACUGGCAGGAAAACGGCCAUUCAGUUCCUAUGUUCCUUUAAGCCAUCUAUUCUGGCUCCUACUAAGACAGUGCUUAAUUAGUAAGGGGAUUUUAAGUCCAGAAGUUAACCGGAACCAUUCUUCUAUGGGUAAAUGCUUUAGCAUGGGCUAUAAUGGCAGGAUAUAGAGUUCAAUCUAUCACAUCCCCUCCCUUAAAGGGUCUCUUCCCAAUUACAUGGUUUUUCUUCAAAUCCAUUUUUUGGGAGGCACACAGGCCACCCAAGUCUAGGAGGUCAAAGGUAAAUAAAAGGCAGAGAACUGAUUGCUUGGGAACAGCGUGACUAUGGCCCAAAACUCAGAUCCUCUGGUGCCAUGGCUUGGAGGGUCACACCUGCAGUCAUGGGUGGAACAUUUAAAUGAGUGCUGGGAAUCCAGGAACAAAAGAGAAAAUAGUUGGGGGACGCCUCCUACUGCUUUCUUCUCCAUCCUGGAUUUCAUACCAAAAGGAAGGAGACUAAAAGGACGCUUUUAUUCUCACUUCUCUUUCUAGAUGGGUAACAGACCAUCUUCAACAUGCACUUCUCUUGAGUGUAUUUUGAAGCACUAGGACUCUUUCGACCUUGAAACUUUGAAGAAAAAGUGGCUUAUUUUCUUUUGCAGUCAUAUCAGGCAGGCCCAGGGAAAACAGUACCCCAAAAUUUAAAAAGUAACUUUCAGGGAAGUCAUCUGAGGGUCCCCCUUAUUUGGGGCCCCUUCAAGUUCCCUUCUCAUUGCAGGACCUUUGGCAAGUAAAGGGAGACUUAGGCUGGUUUUCUGAUGACCUUAAUAAGUAUAUGGAAGCUUUCCAAUAUUUAACUCAGGUAUGUAACCUCUCAUGAAGGGAUGUUAUGUUGCUGCUAAGGCAAACCCUUACUGUAGGUAAAAUAAGCAGCUCUGCAAGCAGAAGAAAAUUUUGGAGAUAAGUAAUGUCUCCUAUAGAAGGCCAAAAGGGAAAAGAAAAAAAUAGGGAAGGCAAAGGGGAAACACCAUUCCCAAUAGGAAAAGAGGCAAUACCUCCUGACAACCCUAAUUGGAACUCCUUUCUGUGGUGUUUUUCCUUGUUUUGCAGUUUAAAAUGGCUUCUCUUUUAUAAUGUUCUUCCAACAUGGAAAAGGUUAAUUUUCCAAACCUUAAAAUGUUUGGCAUAGAGUUGAGCUAGGGGGAAGGAAACCCAGCCCAGAAGCCUGAUAUGCUGGCAAAAGGGUAAAAAUUUCUUACCAGUCAGGCUUUUGGCUUCUCUCUUCCUGUGGAAACCGGCAAAAGGGAUAAUAAAGAUCAUUGUUUAUGUUUUCUUUAAAUUUAUAGUUAAUGAAAAAGGAUUUGUGAGGUUGGUCUUAAGCUGUAAACAAUCUGCUCUUCUUUGUAUGUCUUUCUGUGUGGUUCUGUUAAAGAAAAGGUAUCUUAGGUCAGGAUGCAGGCCCAGAAACCCAUAAGCCUGCUGUUCAAACCAGCCCAGCAAAGUAUCCAGUGGCAAACUUGGCUACAGGCCUCCAUCUUGUUUCAUGUCAUGGGAACAUAAUCUGUAACCAUGUGGCAAUACUUUGUUUUUGUCUCCGCCAUUUUACAAUGGUGGCUGUCUUCUUGUGCUAAAUCAGAUAAGCCAGUUUGUCAGUCUGGGCUGUGUCAGCUGAUCCAUCAAGGGCAGGGUUUACAAAACAUCUUAAGCACUGAUCAUAACAGCCGUUUAGGGAGGGUCAAAAUCUUGUAGCCUCCAAUUGCAUGGCUCUUGGGCCAUGGUUUCUAAUCCUGUAGCUAGUUUCUUGGUCUGGUCCCCAGGCAAAAGGGAAGUAUAUCUUGAGAAGCAGCUGCUAUCUUCUUUGUUUUAGACUAUAAACUGUAAACCAAGCUCCUCCCCAACUUGAUUCAGCCUAUGCCCGGGGAUGGGCAAGGACAGUUUGGGGACUGGAAACAAAAUGGAGUUGUUUGGGUGAGAUCUCUUCCACUGUCUCAGUCACAAUUUUGCAGUGACAGUUUCAAAAGCUGCCUGUCCGGGUGGAUCACGAGGUCAGGAGUUCAAGACCAGCCUAGUCAACAUGACGAAACCCUGUCUCUACUAAAAAA